CAGAGUAGAGGGGCAGAAUCACCUCCCUUGACCUAUUGGCCACGUUCCCAUUGAUGCAGCCCAGAAUGCAGUUGGCUUUCUGGGCUGCAAGUGCACAUUGCCAGCUCCUGUCGUUUUCUAUUGACCAAAAGACAACCAAGAAACUAAAAGAUAGAGUCAGUAACAAUUCUAUGACCCUGGGUCACAAAUUGAGCUGCUGAAGCAGAAAGAAUAUGGGGUACCUAGCAGCACUAGAACACUUUCAGAUCACUAAGCAAGGUGUUAGUCACUCAAGAUAAAAUAUAAAAGUACAGGCUCCAUUUUUUUGCCUUAGUUUGAAAAAUAUAGGGAAAUUCAAAAGCUAUUGGAAUUGCUAUCUCUUGAACAGUGACUAAAUGCAUUUAGAGUUUAGUCCCCACAGGCAGAAGAGUGUUGAUAACAGAACAGUGGCUGGUGCUGAGCUGUACUCACAGAGCAUGAAGGCUGUGUCUCCAACAUCCCUCCCCAGCAAAAGAGGGUGGGGGUGGAGUAGAGAGAGAAUGGGAAGGGACAUUGCUAGGACAGCUUGCCUAAACUGACCAAAGGGAUAUUCCAUAUCUGUGAAAUCUGCUGUCAGAUGUCAUACCUAUAACAUCUGCUCAGCAAUAAAAGCCACGAGAGGGGAAAAUGUUGUAAAGGUGUUUCUUCCAAACCAACCCUAAAGAUCCUCCCUUUUUCCUUAGCUUCUUUUCAAUCACAUCCAUUGUUCAUGCAUGAUUUUUUUUUCCUUAGAAUUAAAUUCAAUAGAAUUUGUUCAUUUUUUUCUCUAGAUUUUUCUGAAGAGUUUCUACUUCAAAACACAUCCAAGACACUUAUAAUAGAUUCAGCAAUAUUUAAAUAUCUGUCUUCUGAAAUCAGUCAAAACUUAGAAAUCUAAUUUGUCCUAAUGUGAUACUUUCAGCAGACUACCUUUACUUUGUGUCUUUCUUAGGCAAAGAUGCCUUGACUAAUUUCUGAUUGUUCAAAGGUUCUUCUCACAUUUAUUAUUUUGCUGUAGAAGACCAUUCAAAGAAAAAAAUAGCACAACUAAAUUCAAUGUUGCUGUAAUUUUCUUCCUUAAAAGGCAGUGUUUUGCCACUGGCCUUUGGAAUGUCUAACCAUCAACUAUUAUUAAAAGACCAGUCAAUUGUUUGAAAUUCAUUAUGAAAACAUUUUUUAGAUGGCAUUGUUAAUUGAAUUUAACAUUAGAUGUACUUCAGGGUGAGGUAAUUAAACUUUGCAUGCUAUUGACACUGGUUAGUCACAUGUAUACUUAAUUUUCUUUGAUAAUUUUUAGAACAAAAUAUAACAAUAUUUAAACAGUUCAACAUAUUUAAGACAAUCCCCAUUAUUCAUUUCAAAAAUUCUUUUUUCACUUGAAUAUAAACUCAAAAGGAUGGAAUUUAUGAUUUUAAAUUUGUUCUUUGUUAUGUUAAGGUAUUUAAAUGCAAACUAUCUAAUAACACUUGCUAUGGCGCUUGUGACCUAGAACUGUCUCUACAUUAAAAAACUAAAAGAAACAAGAUCAAAGAAAAUAAAAUUUG
Molecule: long non-coding RNA, 1541 nt
Organism: Passer domesticus (house sparrow)
Lineage: Eukaryota; Metazoa; Chordata; Aves; Passeriformes; Passeridae
Exons: 3
Source: RefSeq, a predicted model, not a curated record